UCCACUAAAAGUUCUACUACUACUACUACGACUACUACUAGUACUACUACUACUAUAUACAAAGUAAACCAAGAAAACUCAAUGCUGUAGAGUGCACUCAUAGAGAGGUUUGAUACAUUUCUCUGAAGUAAUCAAAGCAUUGAAAGCUGGCUGAUCAACAGUGCACUCCAGACAGGAAAAACAGAACAAGACUCUGGACCUUUAAUUGUUGUUUUUUUGGAAGCAGGGCUAUGAUUAAGAGCAAAGGCUGGGGGCGUUCAUAUUGUGCCACUUGAACUGGAGUUCUUAGACCAGUGCAAGAUGACCUAAAGCAAAAGUAUUUGCCAAGAAUGUUUUCAUUA
RNAcentral lists this non-coding RNA (341 nucleotides) under Manacus vitellinus (golden-collared manakin). RNAcentral's name for it is "Eukaryotic small subunit ribosomal RNA". It matches the Rfam family "Eukaryotic small subunit ribosomal RNA", at positions 636 to 975 of the family's 1831-position model. The record is from Rfam by way of RNAcentral. Lineage: Eukaryota; Metazoa; Chordata; Aves; Passeriformes; Pipridae.